This 485-nucleotide ribosomal RNA is filed under the name uncultured bacterium. RNAcentral's name for it is "partial 16S ribosomal RNA". It matches the Rfam family "Bacterial small subunit ribosomal RNA", at positions 28 to 506 of the family's 1533-position model. The record is from RNAcentral.
GAUGAACGCUAGCGGCAGGCUUAACACAUGCAAGUCGAGGGGCAGCGCGGGAUAGCAAUAUCCUGGCGGCGACCGGCGGAAGGGUGCGUAACGCGUGAGCGACAUGCCCGUUGCCCGGGGACAACCGGUGGAAACGCCGACUAAUCCCCGAUGGGAUACGAUGCUUCAUGGCAUUGUAUUGAAAGUUACGGCGGCGACGGAUUGGCUCGCGUCCGAUUAGCUGGUUGGCGGGGUAACGGCCCACCAAGGCUGCGAUCGGUAGGGGUUCUGAGAGGAAGGCCCCCCACAAUGGGACUGAGACACGGCCCAUACUCCUACGGGAGGCAGCAGUGAGGAAUAUUGGUCAAUGGGCGGAAGCCUGAACCAGCCAUGCCGCGUGCGGGAAGGAGGCCCUAUGGGCUGUGAACCGCUUUUGCCUGGGGGCAAUAAGGGCGUCGCGCACGUCCGAUGAGCGUACCAGGCGAAUAAGCAUCGGCUAACUCCGU